Molecule: ribosomal RNA, 465 nt
Filed under: Vreelandella stevensii
Lineage: Bacteria; Pseudomonadati; Pseudomonadota; Gammaproteobacteria; Oceanospirillales; Halomonadaceae
Description: partial 16S ribosomal RNA
Rfam family: Bacterial small subunit ribosomal RNA
Source: RNAcentral
CCUACGGGCGGCUGCAGUGGGGAAUAUUGGACAAUGGGGGGAACCCUGACCCAGCCAUGCCGCGUGUGUGAAGAAGGCCCUCGGGUUGUAAAGCACUUUCAGUGAGGAAGAACGCCUGGUGGUUAAUACCCAUCAGGAAAGACAUCACUCACAGAAGAAGCACCGGCUAACUCCGUGCCAGCAGCCGCGGUAAUACGGAGGGUGCGAGCGUUAAUCGGAAUUACUGGGCGUAAAGCGCGCGUAGGUGGCUUGAUAAGCCGGUUGUGAAAGCCCCGGGCUCAACCUGGGAACGGCAUCCGGAACUGUCAAGCUAGAGUGCAGGAGAGGAAGGUAGAAUUCCCGGUGUAGCGGUGAAAUGCGUAGAGAUCGGGAGGAAUACCAGUGGCGAAGGCGGCCUUCUGGACUGACACUGACACUGAGGUGCGAAAGCGUGUGUAGCAAACAGGAUUAGAUACCCCAGUAGUC